Molecule: non-coding RNA, 1497 nt
Organism: Aegilops tauschii subsp. strangulata
Lineage: Eukaryota; Viridiplantae; Streptophyta; Magnoliopsida; Poales; Poaceae
Source: RefSeq, a predicted model, not a curated record
CUGUAGUUAACAUGGUCUACCAUGCACUUGCCGAGAGGAGCUAUAAUUAUCUUUCUUUCAUGGUCUGUAUCAUGCACUUGCCGACAGAAAAAUACUUCAUAAGUAACAGGCCUUAACAAUUAGCUACAUAUACUGGAAUUUGUAUAAUGGAACUUUGGAGGAGAGUGCUACUGUAGAAAGCAAAGUUAGAACGGGCAAGGUUCAUGGUCUUUCUAAAAACAAGAAGUUUCAGGUGCGUUUGUAGCAGUGAAAGCUGACAAGCUUUGCACUUGGUACAUUGUAGAAUCUGGUGCGUAGGUAGGACGGGAACACUCAUAUGUUACAUAAGAACACACCCAUUUGAAGUAGUUUAUUUGUUGCUUCAUUUGCUGAAUAGAUUGGUGAAAAAUAACAUUUCAUCAUGUAGCCGUAGAUAGAGAGAGGGAGAGAGAGAGUUCAUAAGCCUAUAAAAAAAUGGGGAGUUCAUGAACAUAUAAAGAAAUUUAAAGUUCUAACAAUAAUUAUUCAAAUACAUCUCUAAUUAAAGAUGGAAAUCAAAUAUUACGGUGUUUAAUCAUCUUGUUGUUGUCGGUUCACACGUCGUUGAUGAUUAGUCCACAAUUAUUGAGCGAUGCCAGCACGAACUCUCUCACCAGCAACUCGGUCAUCUUCUCUUGCUUGCCCACGAACUUGUUGAUCACCAUGGUCAACAUUUUCUUGUGUUUCCCCAUGCUCAUAAAGCUCAAACAACUCAUCAGGCUCAUUAACCUUCCUUAUGAAGUUGUGGAUGAUGCAACAAGCCAUAACAAUUUUAACUUGGGUUCUAUAUGGAUAAGGAAUUCCUCCUUUCCUACUUAGAAUUGGAAAACGAGCUUUCAGAACACCAAAGGUUCGUUCCAUAUAGAGCACCCUGUGGUCACUAAUAUUUCGAUCUUUUGAGGGCCAAGAUCUCAAGCAUGAAGUUCAUUUACUAUGAAGCUGGGCUAGGUUUCCCCACUUAUUGCCGUCAACUUCACAUUGGACAUCACAAGGACGGGUGAAGCCACGAAUCCUGAUUGAAGACCGGAAGAUGAUGAUGAUAACAAGAGCUCGAUGGAGGUGUGCAGUCCUAUUGAAGAUGGCCAAGUUCAGAUCCAAAGGCGAUGUAUUCCAUCCAGUGCCUGUGGCCGGGGAUCGCAGCCAGCCUGUGCGAUCUGUGUGUGGAACGCACCAUGCGGCCAACAAAAUCCUGUUAUAUAGGCAAUGGAAAAAGGCGGGAGGUGAGUCGCAGAAAGAAAAAUUGGCGCCAAUGUGGUUGUUUAGGAAGGGCGGAGGCGGAGAUGGUCAGUUGCGAUCUGUAUUUGUUAAUCGCGUUUGUGGAAAAACGACUAAUACUCGUUUUCCCACAAACCUGGAAUUUUGGGCUUUUGUGAAACGUGUUUCCUAUAUGCAUGGGUUAGUUGGAGGAGCCAAACAAGAUUUUGUACGGUUAGGCCGUUUUUCUGGCUUAUGGAGAUCCCGAUCUGUAUGUUCCCCUUA